UGAGGAAUAUUGGUCAAUGGCCGGGAGGCUGAACCAGCCAAGCCGCGUGAAGGAAGACGGCCCUACGGGUUGUAAACUUCUUUUGUCGGGGAACAAAAAGGGGAGGACGAGUCCUCCUCUGCGGGUACCCGAAGAAAAAGCAUCGGCUAACUCCGUGCCAGCAGCCGCGGUAAUACGGAGGAUGCGAGCGUUAUCCGGAUUUAUUGGGUUUAAAGGGUGCGUAGGCGGUCUGUUAAGUCAGCGGUAAAAGACCGGGGCUCAACCCCGGCAAGCCGUUGAAACUGGCGGACUAGAGACGGAGAGAAGUAAGCGGAAUGCGCAGUGUAGCGGUGAAAUGCAUAGAUAUUGCGCAGAACUCCGAUUGCGAAGGCAGCUUACCGGCUCCCGGACUGACGCUGAGGCACGAAAGCGUGGGGAUCAAACAGGAUUAGAUACCC
This 437-nucleotide ribosomal RNA is filed under the name uncultured bacterium. RNAcentral's name for it is "bacterial SSU rRNA". It matches the Rfam family "Bacterial small subunit ribosomal RNA", at positions 355 to 787 of the family's 1533-position model. The record is from RNAcentral.